UACAGAGGUCCCAAGCGUUGUUCGGAUUCACUGGGCGUAAAGGGUGCGUAGGUGGCGAGGAAAGUCUGAUGUGAAAUCUCCGGGCUUAACCCGGAAAUGGCAUUGGAAACUGCCUUGCUCGAGGAUUGGAGGGGGGACUGGAAUACUUGGUGUAGCAGUGAAAUGCGUAGAUAUCAAGUGGAACACCAGUGGCGAAGGCGAGUCCCUGGACAACUCCUGACACUGAGGCACGAAAGCUAGGGGAGCAAACGGG
This 253-nucleotide ribosomal RNA is filed under the name uncultured bacterium. Its description in RNAcentral is "partial 16S ribosomal RNA". It matches the Rfam family "Bacterial small subunit ribosomal RNA", at positions 524 to 776 of the family's 1533-position model. The record is from RNAcentral.